UCCAACAAGCAUCUCUAAUAUUAGGGGCAUAACAUUCAUCCCUAAAAGCAUUCCACUAAUCUCACAAACCACACAUAUGCCACUAUGUCUCAACAGACAGUGAAUAAUGAAUUUGGCUUAUCCUCGAAUACCAUUACAAAGUUAAUCUCCAUAGGCACACCAUAGUUUCCAAAGCAUCAUGCCAAACUAAUUUUAUCUAUGCCUAUUUGAUGUUAUGUCGUAUCACUCAUAAUUCAAAUCAUAAUUAUAGAGUGGUCUUCCCUAGACCUAAUCAAAUCAUGUAUGGUUGCCAACUGGUGGAGACAAAUUGUGCUCAAGGCUAAAGUCGUUGGCAGAGCAUCAAAUCACAUGCAUGCCGAAGCAACGGGGCGAAAGGUCAGAUCAGGCUUGGAGUCGAAACAUUUGAUGGAGAAGAGAUCACGCUCAGUGCUGAAGCAAUUAGUGGAGAAUCAAAGUCAUUAUCUGAAGGUAUGUGACAAAUGGCAUCAAAAUACUGUAGGUGAGAAUCACAAGCAGGAUUAAUACCAC
This 528-nucleotide long non-coding RNA is filed under the name Theobroma cacao (cacao). RNAcentral describes it as "long non-coding RNA (TCAC_LNC005248)". The record is from RNAcentral. Lineage: Eukaryota; Viridiplantae; Streptophyta; Magnoliopsida; Malvales; Malvaceae.